Molecule: ribosomal RNA, 253 nt
Filed under: uncultured bacterium
Lineage: Bacteria
Description: partial 16S ribosomal RNA
Rfam family: Bacterial small subunit ribosomal RNA
Source: RNAcentral
GACGAACCGUCCAAACGUUGUUCGGAAUCACUGGGCUUAAAGGGCGCGUAGGCGGAUGCUCAAGUCGGUGGUGAAAUCUUUCGGCUCAACCGGAAAAGUGCCGCCGAUACUGGGGAUCUCGAGGGAGGUAGGGGUCGAGGGAACUUCCGGUGGAGCGGUGAAAUGCGUAGAUAUCGGAAGGAACGCCGGUGGCGAAAGCGCUCGACUGGACCUCUGCUGACGCUGAGGCGCGAAAGCCAGGGGAGCAAACGGG